Molecule: transfer RNA, 94 nt
Filed under: Candidatus Hydrogenedentota bacterium
Lineage: Bacteria; Pseudomonadati; Candidatus Hydrogenedentota
Description: tRNA-Sec
Rfam family: Selenocysteine transfer RNA
Source: RNAcentral
GGAGGUGAGGGGGAUCCGGUGGUUCCCGCGGUCUUCAAAACCGUUGUAUCGCUUAACGGCGAUGGGUGGGUUCGACUCCCAUUCACCUCCGCCA